Molecule: ribosomal RNA, 250 nt
Filed under: uncultured bacterium
Lineage: Bacteria
Description: partial 16S ribosomal RNA
Rfam family: Bacterial small subunit ribosomal RNA
Source: RNAcentral
UACGUAGGGGGCAAGCGUUAUCCGGAAUCACUGGGCGUAAAGGGUGCGUAGGCGGUUUUACAAGUCAGGAGUGAAAGGCUAUGGCUCAACCAUAGUGAGCUCUUGAAACUGUAUGACUUGAGUGCAGGAGAGGAAAGUGGAAUUCCUAGUGUAGCGGUGAAAUGCGUAGAUAUUAGGAGGAACACCAGUGGCGAAGGCGACUUUCUGGACUGUAACUGACGCUGAGGCACGAAAGCGUGGGGAGCGAACA